UCCCAAGGACAGAGGAUUUGGGUCUUUGU
Molecule: non-coding RNA, 29 nt
Filed under: Callithrix jacchus (white-tufted-ear marmoset)
Lineage: Eukaryota; Metazoa; Chordata; Mammalia; Primates; Cebidae
Also listed under: 2 other names
Source: RNAcentral